GACGAACGCUGGCGGCGUGCCUAAUACAUGCAAGUCGAGCGAGCUUGCCUAGAUGAAUUUGGUGCUUGCACCAAAUGAAACUAGAUACAAGCGAGCGGCGGACGGGUGAGUAACACGUGGGUAACCUGCCCAAGAGACUGGGAUAACACCUGGAAACAGAUGCUAAUACCGGAUAACAACACUAGACGCAUGUCUAGAGUUUAAAAGAUGGUUCUGCUAUCACUCUUGGAUGGACCUGCGGUGCAUUAGCUAGUUGGUAAGGUAACGGCUUACCAAGGCAAUGAUGCAUAGCCGAGUUGAGAGACUGAUCGGCCACAUUGGGACUGAGACACGGCCCAAACUCCUACGGGAGGCAGCAGUAGGGAAUCUUCCACAAUGGACGCAAGUCUGGUGGAGCAACGCCGCGUGAGUGAAGAAGGGUUUCGGCUCGUAAAGCUCUGUUGGUAGUGAAGAAAGAUAGAGGUAGUAACUGGCCUUUAUUUGACGGUAAUUACUUAGAAAGUCACGGCUAACUACGUGCCAGCAGCCGCGGUAAUACGUAGGUGGCAAGCGUUGUCCGGAUUUAUUGGGCGUAAAGCGAGUGCAGGCGGUUCAAUAAGUCUGAUGUGAAAGCCUUCGGCUCAACCGGAGAAUUGCAUCAGAAACUGUUGAACUUGAGUGCAGAAGAGGAGAGUGGAACUCCAUGUGUAGCGGUGGAAUGCGUAGAUAUAUGGAAGAACACCAGUGGCGAAGGCGGCUCUCUGGUCUGCAACUGACGCUGAGGCUCGAAAGCAUGGGUAGCGAACAGG
RNAcentral lists this ribosomal RNA (788 nucleotides) under uncultured Lactobacillus sp. RNAcentral describes it as "bacterial SSU rRNA". It matches the Rfam family "Bacterial small subunit ribosomal RNA", at positions 28 to 776 of the family's 1533-position model. Lineage: Bacteria; Bacillati; Bacillota; Bacilli; Lactobacillales; Lactobacillaceae. The record is from RNAcentral.